UCUAUGGCCAUACCACCCUGAACACGCCUGAUCUCAUAUAAUCUUGGAAGCUAAGCAGGGUUGGGCCUGGUUAGUACUUGGAUAGGAGAUGGAAUUUCUAUCCGAACAAAGAA
Molecule: ribosomal RNA, 113 nt
Filed under: Ochotona princeps (American pika)
Lineage: Eukaryota; Metazoa; Chordata; Mammalia; Lagomorpha; Ochotonidae
Source: RNAcentral